CCUACGGGAGGCAGCAGUGGGGAAUAUUGCGCAAUGGACGAAAGUCUGACGCAGCGACGCCUCGUGAGGGACGAAGGUCUUCGGAUUGUAAACCUCUUUCAGCAGGGACGAAGCGAAAGUGACGGUACCUGCAGAAGAAGCACCGGCUAACUAUGUGCCAGCAGCCGCGGUAAUACAUAGGGUGCAAGCGUUGUCCGGAUUUAUUGGGCGUAAAGAGUUCGUAGGCGGUUUUUCGCGUCGGAUGUGAAAACUCAGGGCUCAACCCUGAGCCUGCAUUCGAUACGGGAAGACUCGAGGACGGCAGGGGAGACUGGAACUUCUGGUGUAGCGGUGGAAUGCGCAGAUAUCAGAAAGAACACCAAUGGCGAAGGCAGGUCUCUGGGCCGAUCCUGACGCUGAGGAACGAAAGCGUGGGGAGCAAACAGGAUUAGAUACCCUGGUAGUCCACGCCGUAAACUAUGGACGCUAGGUGUGGGGAACAUUCCACGUUCUCUGCGCCGCAGCUAACGCAUUAAGCGUCCCGCCUGGGGAGUACGAUCGCAAGAUUAAAACUCAAAGGAAUUGACGG
Molecule: ribosomal RNA, 568 nt
Filed under: uncultured Actinomycetes bacterium
Lineage: Bacteria; Bacillati; Actinomycetota; Actinomycetes
Description: bacterial SSU rRNA
Rfam family: Bacterial small subunit ribosomal RNA
Source: RNAcentral